RNAcentral lists this ribosomal RNA (492 nucleotides) under uncultured bacterium. Its description in RNAcentral is "partial 16S ribosomal RNA". It matches the Rfam family "Bacterial small subunit ribosomal RNA", at positions 29 to 507 of the family's 1533-position model. The record is from RNAcentral.
AGUGAACGCUGGCGGUAGGCCUAACACAUGCAAGUCGAACGGCAGCACAGUAAGAGCUUGCUCUUACGGGUGGCGAGUGGCGGACGGGUGAGGAAUACAUCGGAAUCUACUUUUUCGUGGGGGAUAACGUAGGGAAACUUACGCUAAUACCGCAUACGACCUACGGGUGAAAGCAGGGGAUCUUCGGGCCUUGCGCGAUUGAAUGAGCCGAUGUCGGAUUAGCUAGUUGGCGGGGUAAAGGCCCACCAAGGCGACGAUCCGUAGCUGGUCUGAGAGGAUGAUCAGCCACACUGGAACUGAGACACGGUCCAGACUCCUACGGGAGGCAGCAGUGGGGAAUAUUGGACAAUGGGAGCAAGCCUGAUCCAGCCAUACCGCGUGGGUGAAGAAGGCCUUCGGGUUGUAAAGCCCUUUUGUUGGGAAAGAAAAGCAGCAGGAUAAUACCCCGCUGUUCUGACGGUACCCAAAGAAUAAGCACCGGCUAACUUCGUG